Molecule: non-coding RNA, 77 nt
Organism: Callorhinus ursinus (northern fur seal)
Lineage: Eukaryota; Metazoa; Chordata; Mammalia; Carnivora; Otariidae
Source: RefSeq, a predicted model, not a curated record
AAAGGGCAGCAAAAACAACAGAAACUGUUAAGACUGCUGUUGUUUGUUGCCUUCAUUCAUAAUUGAAGGAAGUCUGA